Molecule: long non-coding RNA, 1064 nt
Filed under: Zonotrichia albicollis (white-throated sparrow)
Lineage: Eukaryota; Metazoa; Chordata; Aves; Passeriformes; Passerellidae
Description: lncRNA (ENSZALG00000016176.1)
Source: RNAcentral
UGCUUUUAGAGCUGCACAAAAGCUUCUGAAACCAAAACCAAACAAAUUUUCUUUGGUGUUGGCUGUGAAAAAUGUUUUUGCAUUUGAGUUUUUUUUCUUCAACAAAGGAACUUGAUGGUCUUUUGUAAUAGCUUGGCCUGACAAAGUUUGGGUAUUUUUUUCCUCUGUAGUUUUUCUUUUAGCUCAGUCCUUGAGAGGUCCUGCAGAUGCCACUGACAUUCUCCUGGAAGAACCCUCCAUCCUCUUCCUGGUCAGGAAAGGGACACAACUGGGCCCUGGAAGAAUGACUGGAUGGAGGGUGAAGGUGCUGAGAGUGGAGUUGUUCUGUGUUUGAGAGAAAAUGUGGAUGAACAUCCCUUACCCCUUGAUGAUGGAGCACUGUGGUGUCCCUGCCUGCCCUUCACACCAAAUGGGAGAUGAAACAUCCUCCUGCUCACAGCACAGGGAAGAGGCUGGAGCUGGGCUGCUGUCUCCACACCUGUAGAACUGUGGAGAAAUGGGAAUUCUUUGUGUUUCAUUGGCUUCUCUGAGGAAAACAGGGACCAUGAGAUGAGCCAGAGCCUCGGGGGGAAAGGACACUUGGAGCACCUGUACCGAAAGGGAGAAGGUGAAGAAGCCUGUGAGCAUUCCCUGCCUCCUCUGAUCUUAUGCAGAUUCUAAACACAAGUCUGAACGCAAGCUCGAUGGCAACUCUCUGCUCCGGCUGCCAGGGCUGCAGCUCCAGCCGCUCCUCUCCGUCCUCCACCUUCUUUUUCCAAAGUAACAAAGCCAUUGGAUUUCCUCCCACCCCUUCCCUGCGCCUCCCCUCCCCCUCGCUGGCACCGGGGUUAUUUAUACAGAAUGUGGAAACAAUUUGCAGGAAAGUGAACAAUGUAAGCGGGAGCGAGGGAAGGGAGGCGAGUUUGCAGAGCACGCUGAGAGCCCCAGCGGUGGAACGCUGCUUUUGGGGGAGCACGGGGAGCAGGAUGUUUUCCUUUCUUCCUUCUCCCCUCUCCCACCAUCUCCCUGAGCUCCUUCCAUCCUGCUGGAGUCGAGGCCAAACCAGAGCAACGAGAUCUGAGUGA